GCCGGGUGCGGUGGCAUGUGCCUGUAAUCCAAGUCACUGGGAGGCUGAGGUUGGUGGAUCAAGUGAGCUGAGGAGCUCUGGGCUGCAGCACACUAUGUUGAACUGGGUGUCCACGCUAAGUUCGGUAUCGAUAUGGUGUUCCAGGGGGAGCCCGGGACCACCAGGUUGUCUAAGGAGGGGUGAACCGGCCCAGGUCGGAAACGAAGCAGGUCAAAUCCCCCGUGCUGUCCAGUAGUUGGAUAAUACCUGUGAGUAGAUGCUGCAGUGCAGCCUUGGCAAAACAUCGAGACCUAAUCUUUU
This 300-nucleotide signal recognition particle RNA is filed under the name Oncorhynchus kisutch (coho salmon). RNAcentral's name for it is "Metazoan signal recognition particle RNA (ENSOKIG00005024156.1)". It matches the Rfam family "Metazoan signal recognition particle RNA". From Rfam's summary of the family: The signal recognition particle (SRP) is a universally conserved ribonucleoprotein. It is involved in the co-translational targeting of proteins to membranes. The eukaryotic SRP consists of a 300-nucleotide 7S RNA and six proteins: SRPs 72, 68, 54, 19, 14, and 9. The record is from Rfam by way of RNAcentral. Lineage: Eukaryota; Metazoa; Chordata; Actinopteri; Salmoniformes; Salmonidae.